UGUCAAUUGAAACUGAAAAUACAGUUUUACCCAUACUUUUAACAAUCAUUUAACAUAAAUCUUACUUUUGGACUAAAUUUGCUAACAUUCUUGACCACAGGGGUUUAAUUACUAGUUUUUUCACCACGAGAGUCAUCAUGCAAGUUUCCUACGACCACAGGAUGAAUAAUCCAAUUUGGCCUAAAAUUUAAUUAAAAUUGAAAAAUAAAAAAAAAAAGAAAAGAAAACGAAACGACAUAUACGCCUACCAACAGCCUCCCCCAAUCGUUUUUGCAAAUCUCCCUGCAAUCCUUCAAAGAAACCCUUAACCCUCAUCAUCCUGCAUCCAUCAAAUUGCAGGGUCUCAAACUUCCCUUCAAUUUCAAAAUUCGAACCUCUCCCGCAAGUCAAAAGUUGCAAGCUACAUCCCUCCUUCCUUCUCUGAUCCAACCGCGAGGCAAGAUCAGAGAGAGGAAAGGAAAGAAAUCUUAGCCAAUUGUGAGGAGCAGCGAUGACGGCAAUGGCGUGGUUGCAGUGGUUGGCGGCGAUGGGUUGUGUAGUUGCAGUCGGUGGUUAUCCAGUAAUGGUUUUUAUUUUUUAGUUUUUUAAUUAAUUUAUGAAAAGUUAACAGUGUUAAGUUUGGUGUUAAGUUAAUAGAUAUGUGUCAAUAAUUAAGAAAGAGACAAAUGAGACAUCAAAUUGGGGACAGCAGAUUCCUAGUUGGGUGCUUUUGUUUUGUGGUUGUAAAAAGUUUGAGUUUGGGGAAGCAAAUAAUUCAGGUAAGGAAAUGUGGAGCAUACGUGGAUUUUAUGCGAAAUUAAAUCCCGACGUUGACUCUUUUGGGGUUGCCAUAUAAAUAUAAGAGAAAUGUUAGGGUGCAUAAAUUUUUUUUUUUGUAAAAUUUACAAAUUAAAUGAUGUAUUAUCAAUAAGAAUGAUUAUGUUUGUCAAUGCUUAA
Malus domestica (apple) is the source of this 936-nucleotide non-coding RNA. NCBI's taxonomy places the organism in Eukaryota, Viridiplantae, Streptophyta, Magnoliopsida, Rosales, Rosaceae. The record is from RefSeq and is a predicted model, not a curated record.